AUGUGGCUGCCUCCUCCGGACGACCAUAUGAAGAUUAACAUUGAUGCGGCAGUUUCACGCGCUGGCCGUUUUGGGGCAGUGGGAGCAAUAUGUCGUGAUAGCACAGGGGAGUUCAAGGGUGCUUCCACGGUCAUUUUCAGAAACAUCGAAGACCCAGAGGUUCUGGAGGUCCUAGCCAUCAGAGAAGCACAUGCACUAGCUGAUGACUUAUAUGAACAGAGAAUCUUCGUUGCGUCCGGUUGCAGGAUUGUUGUUGAAGCAAUCAAAGGGGGAACGGCGGCGUCUUAUGGAGCGGUGGUACAUGAAAUAAGAGAACGAGUUGGUUUUUUUACUUCUUGCAUUUUCAAUCAUGAAUUCCGGACCUCGAAUUUCGAGGCACACAACCUCGCGAAGCAUGCAUUAAAAUUGGGACCGGCCCGCCAUGUUUGGUUAGGCCACCCCGGUGAUCUUUUGUUCGUCCCUGUAAACAUCGUAACGGUCUAG
RNAcentral lists this ribosomal RNA (483 nucleotides) under Triticum aestivum (bread wheat). RNAcentral describes it as "partial small subunit ribosomal RNA". Lineage: Eukaryota; Viridiplantae; Streptophyta; Magnoliopsida; Poales; Poaceae. The record is from RNAcentral.